RNAcentral lists this microRNA (25 nucleotides) under Brachypodium distachyon (stiff brome). Its description in RNAcentral is "bdi-miR7752-3p". Lineage: Eukaryota; Viridiplantae; Streptophyta; Magnoliopsida; Poales; Poaceae. The record is from miRBase by way of RNAcentral.
AAAAUGAUAGGUUGGAAGAACACGC